ACACCCGUUCCCAUACCGAACACGGAAGUUAAGCUUCUCAGCGCCGAUGGUAGUUAGGGGCUGUCCCCUUGUGAGAGUAGGACGUUGCCGGGC
RNAcentral lists this ribosomal RNA (93 nucleotides) under Cytobacillus horneckiae. RNAcentral also lists the same sequence under 2 other names. Lineage: Bacteria; Bacillati; Bacillota; Bacilli; Caryophanales; Bacillaceae. The record is from RNAcentral.